CAGCAGCCGCGGUAAUACGUAGGGUGCGAGCGUUAAUCGGAAUUACUGGGCGUAAAGCGUGCGCAGGCGGUUCGUUAAGACAGAUGUGAAAUCCCCGGGCUUAACCUGGGAACUGCAUUUGUGACUGGCGAGCUAGAGUAUGGCAGAGGGGGGUAGAAUUCCACGUGUAGCGGUGAAAUGCGUAGAGAUCUGGAGGAAUACCUGUGGCGAAGGCGGCCCCCUGGACGAAGACUGACGCUCAGGUACGAAAGCGUGGGGAGCAAACAGGAUUAGAUACCCCUGUAGUCCCUGUCUCUUAUAC
This 301-nucleotide ribosomal RNA is filed under the name uncultured bacterium. RNAcentral's name for it is "partial 16S ribosomal RNA". It matches the Rfam family "Bacterial small subunit ribosomal RNA", at positions 509 to 807 of the family's 1533-position model. The record is from RNAcentral.